RNAcentral lists this transfer RNA (91 nucleotides) under Maricaulis sp. Its description in RNAcentral is "tRNA-Ser". It matches the Rfam family "tRNA". From Rfam's summary of the family: Transfer RNA (tRNA) molecules are approximately 80 nucleotides in length. Their secondary structure includes four short double-helical elements and three loops (D, anti-codon, and T loops). Further hydrogen bonds mediate the characteristic L-shaped molecular structure. tRNAs have two regions of fundamental functional importance: the anti-codon, which is responsible for specific mRNA codon recognition, and the 3' end, to which the tRNAs corresponding amino acid is attached (by aminoacyl-tRNA synthetases). tRNAs cope with the degeneracy of the genetic code in two manners: having more than one tRNA (with a specific anti-codon) for a particular amino acid; and 'wobble' base-pairing, i.e. permitting non-standard base-pairing at the 3rd anti-codon position. The record is from RNAcentral. Lineage: Bacteria; Pseudomonadati; Pseudomonadota; Alphaproteobacteria; Maricaulales; Maricaulaceae.
GGUGAGGUGGCCGAGUGGUCGAAGGCGCACGCCUGGAACGCGUGUAGGCGGUGUCCCCGUCUCGAGGGUUCGAAUCCCUCCCUCACCGCCA